UUGAUCCAAAUAUUGUUUGCAAAUUGUCUGAAAUGCUUUAUCAGCACAAUACACAUACAAAGUCUUUUCGGAUGGUAAGAGAAAGAUUGAAUCAAGGUAAUGUAAACAACUUGAAGCUAAGGUUGAUUUCUCAGAGGUAUACUGAUGGUAGAAUAUACAAUCAACCCUCAGUGUCCGAUGUAGCUGCUCUUAUUGUUGGUGAUGUUGAUACUGCUUCAAAAAGAGACUUAGUAAUAGAGACUCAAUGUGGCAAACUUCAAAGAAUAGAUGAAUUUCAUGCAAGCUAUCUGGCCUACCAAUAUCCCUUAAUUUUUCCUUAUGGCGAGGAUGGCUAUCGACGCGACGUGCCUCAUAGUGAUAAGGGAAGUUCUAAGGGCAGAAAGAGGAAUUGGCUGACUAUAAGAGAAUGGUUUGCUUUUAGAAUUCAAUCUAGAACAGAGGAAGCACAAACUUUAUUAUGUUCAAGAAGACUAUACCAACAAUUCCUAGUUGAUGGAUUCACUAUGUUGGAGUCUGAAAGAUUCAACUGGCUGAGGCAAAAUCAGUCAAAACUACGAGUCUCUAAAUAUCGUAGUCUGAAUGAAACUGAUCACCAUAUUCAAACUCAAGGGUCAACCAAAGGAAAGAGAGUAAUAUUACCUGCAUCACAUGUGGGAAGCCGUAGAUACAUGGAUCAAUUAUAUUUUGAUGGAAUGGCAAUUUGUAGCUAUGUUGGUUUUCCUGAUCUUUUCAUUACAUUUACCUGUAAUCCCAACUGGCCAGAAAUUCAAAGAGUGCUAGGACCGAUAAAUUUGAAAGCAUAUGAUCGUCCUGAUAUAAUAACAAGGGUGUUUAAAAUGAAAUUGGAUGAGCUCCUUUCAGAUUUGACCAAGAAAAAUGUGCUUGGGAAAGUUCUUGCAUAUAUAUACACCAUUGAGUUUCAAAAGAGGGGAUUGCCACAUGCACACAUACUUAUAUUUCUGCAUCCAUCUAGCAAGUUCCCCACUCCUGAUGAUAUUGACAAGAUCAUUUUAGCAGAGAUACCAAGUCAGGAACAUGAGAAAGAGUUAUAUAAUUUGGUUAAAAAUUACAUGAUCCAUGGCCCAUGUGGCGUAUCUCAUGAAUCACCACCUUGCAUCAAAAAUGGGAAGUGCUCAAAAUAUUAUCCUAAGCAGUACCAAAACUCAACAUUUGUCGACAAAUAUGGUUAUCCGGUGUAUAGACGAAGGGACAACGGUCGCACAAUUGUCAAGAAUGGUGUCUCAUUCAGUAACAAAGAUAUUGUACCAUACAAUCCUAUGUUGCUAAUGAAGUACCAAGCACAUAUCAAUAUGGAAUGGUGUAACCAAAGUUGGUCAAUAAAGUACUUAUUCAAGCACAUAAAUAAAGGUUAUGAUAGGAUAACAGCUGUUAUUGCUCCAACACAAGACAAAGAUUCAACUCAAAGUGGUGGUAACAUUGAUGAGAUCAAACAAUACUUGGAUUGUAGGUAUGUGUCACCAAAUGAGGCAUGUUGGAGAAUUUUUUCAUUUCCAAUACAUGGUCGGAACCCAGCAGUUGAAAGGUUGCACUUUCAUAUUCCAGGUGACCAGCUAGUCUACUUUAACGAUUAUGAGCACAUUGACGAUGUCCUGUUGAAGCCAAGUGUCACUGAAUCAAUGUUUACAUCUUGGAUGCAAGCAAACAAGAUUUAUCCCGAAGCCAAAAAUUUGACUUAUGGCCAGUUUGUUUCUAAAUUUGUAUAUGUUAGGACAAAAAGGUCAUGGAAACCACGUAAGACAGGUUAUACUAUUGGGAGGCUAAUUUGGGUUCCUCCAAGUACUGGAGAGCUUUUUUAUUUAAGAAUGCUGCUUACUAUUGUAAAAGGACCUGGCAGCUAUGAAGAUAUUAAAACUGUUGCCAAUAUCCAAUAUGAAACUUUCAGAGAAGCAUGUUUUGCAAUGGGUCUCCUUGAAGAUGAUAGAGACUAUAUAGAGACCAUAAAAGAGGCAAAUGAAUGGGGUCCUGGAAAGUACUUAAGGAAGUUAUUUAUCAUUAUGCUCUUAUCAUGUACCCUUAAUAGACCAGACUAUUUGUGGAAUCAAACUUGGACGUUGUUGUCUGAUGGGAUACUUAAUGAACAAAGGAAAUUGGUUGCCAAUCAAGACUUGCAACUUUCUUAUGAAGAGAUACAAAAUUUAUCUUUGCUUGAGAUUGAGAAACAUCUGCAAACAAACCGGAGAAGUCUGAAGCAAUAUCCAACAAUGCCAUAUCCAAAAGGUUACAUCACAGGUCAAUUCGGGAAUAAACUAAUAUAUGAGGAGCUUGACUAUGAUCAAGCUAUUCAACAACAACAAUUCCAACAAUUAUUCAGUUCUCUUACAGAUGAGCAAAGAGGAAUAUUUGAAACAAUUAUGCAAGCAGUCAACAACCAGAAGGGAGGAGUAUUUUUCCUAAAUGGUUAUAGUGGAACCGGAAAAACUUUCAUGUGGAGAACUUUAGCAUCAGCCAUACGUUCUCAACGUCAUAUUGUGUUGACCGUGGCAUCAAGUGGAAUAGCAUCACUUUUAUUACCGGGAGGAAGAACAGCACAUUCAAAGUUUAGAAUUCCUAUUCCUGCAUUUGAUUACUCGAUUUGCGGUAUAGAAAAAGGAAGUAAAAUUGCAGAGCUGCUGAAACUAACAAAACUCAUAAUAUGGGAUGAAGCUCCAAUGACCCAUAAAUUUUGUUUUGAGGCACUGGACAAAACUCUCAAAGACAUAAUGAGUUCGAGCACUUCAAUAUUUGGAGGAAAAGUUAUAGUUUUUGGGGGUGACUUUAGACAAAUUCUACCAGUCAUUCCAAGAGGAAGUCGUUCUGACAUUGUCCAUGCAACAAUUAAUGCAUCAUAUAUUUGGGAUCAUUGUCAAGUGUUAACUCUAACAAAAAAUAUGCGUUUGCAUACUGGGUCACAAAGUUCCGAUACAGCAGAACUCAAUGAGUUCUCACAAUGGAUUUUAAACAUUGGCGAUGGGAAGAUUUCUGAGCCAAAUGAUGGUUAUGCUGAGAUAGAUAUUCCAAGUGAAUUAUUGAUCACCAAUUUUGAUGAUCCUAUCGAUGCAAUUGUGAAAAGUACAUAUCCGAAUUUAAUUGAAAAUUAUAAGAAUGAAGAUUUUUUGCAAUCUAGGGCAAUUUUAGCAUCAAAAAUUGAAGUAGUUGAUCAAAUAAAUGAAUAUGUCCUGAAACUGAUUCCAGGUGAGGAAAUGGAGUAUUUAAGUUCAAAUUCUAUAGAUCGGUCGGAAGCUCAUACCAAUGAAGCAUUUGAAGUACUUACCCCUGAGUUUAUGAGCUCUCUAACAGCUUCAGGGCUUCCUAAUCAUAAAAUUAAACUCAAGGUUGGUACUCCAAUAAUGCUUUUAAGAAAUUUAGACCAAUCAGAAGGAUUAUGUAAUGGAACUAGACUCAUUGUCACAAGGCUAGCAAAUCAUGUGCUCGAAGCAAAGAUCAUUGCUGGGAAGGAUAACGGACGCGUUGUCUACAUUCCACAGAUAUCUAUCUUUUUGAAUGAAUCACCAUGGCCAUUCAAGCUUAUUAGGAAACAAUUUCCUAUAAUUGUCUCAUAUGCUAUGACAAUUAAUAAAGCACAAGGUCAAUCUCUCGACUAUGUUGGGCUAUACUUGCCUAGACCGGUGUUUAGCCAUGGCCAGCUAUAUGUGGCGAUUUCCAGAGUUACGAGAAAACAAGGUCUCAAGAUCUUGAUCCAUGAUAAUGAAAGACAACCACUAAACGUUACCACCAACGUGGUUUUCAAAGAGGUCUUCCAAAAUCUUUAAUUAUUCGCAGGGUACUCAAAAGGAUAGAAAAGAGGUGGUUUGCAACAAUCCAUGCCAACAAUGUGGGGUUCUCCCCUGACAAUUUUGGAGCUAAGGAGAUGCUGGGAGUAUUUCAAAAAUAGGGUUCAAUUGCGGAAGUUGUCAUUCUGUCAAAAGGAGAUAAGUGUGGGAAACAAUUUGGGUCUCAUGGCUCAGAGUUUUUAGGUACUGGUAAAUGCUUGGUCCACUGAGUUCUUUUCUUUCUUAGUGGCUUCUUAUGGAAACUACAUGUGCGUGGAUGAUAAUACAUUGAAGAAAAAUACCAUGGGUGUAGCAAAGGUUAUGAUCAGGAUGAGGGGCCGCACUUUUAUUGACUCAAAGGUGAAUAUUAACAUUAAUAGGGAUAGGGAUGUUUAGUCCAUUAGUGGAGGCUACUGCAACAUUUUUCGUGGGCCAAAACAAAGCUGGCGAAAUUUACCAAGCCAUUGCUAUGUAGUGUUGAUGUAAUCUUUGUUUCUUUAACUUCUGAAUCUGAAUAUAUAUAUUUUAGCGCCGGCUUCAAGUGUUGAUGUUGAUGUAACCUAUGUCUCUUUAAAUUCCGAAUCUGAAUGUAUAUAUUUUAUUAUGUGUUUGCUUUUAUAGAAGAAAUAUUUUCUAAUUUUAUUUUUCACCCUGAGUUUCAAAUGAAAGACAUUAACAAUCAAAACAUCAAUCCAUUGAUGAAAAAUAUAUAUCAAAGUAAUAAAUGGAAAGUGACGUACUAUUAAAAAGAGGGAAUUUUAAAGUAAGUAAUAAAUUAUACUAAGUAAACAUAUAAC
Molecule: RNA transcript, 4567 nt
Organism: Trifolium pratense (red clover)
Lineage: Eukaryota; Viridiplantae; Streptophyta; Magnoliopsida; Fabales; Fabaceae
Exons: 7
Source: RefSeq, a predicted model, not a curated record